GUUUUUGAGCAUUUCUAUAAUGUUUUUUAUGAGCGUAUUUUUCUUCAUAAUUUUCUCUUAUACGAUAGAAUCGUCUACAGAUAAAGAUAUUCCUAUUGAUCCAAGACCCGUUAAAUUUGUUGGUCGUUGCGACGAAAAAUUUGGAAACGAAGAAUGUACCCUUGACUGUAGAAGAAUGGAUUAUGCUGAUGGAUCCUGUUUUAAAUUUAAUACGCAACCUGAAUCUUAUUAUUGUUUUUGUACUUAUAAUAGCAAUGUUAUGUGAUAGAUAGCGUAUAAAAUAACAUUAUAUAAGUUAAAGAUAUUAAAAGAAAUUUUAUCAAAAAAUAAUAGCC
Molecule: long non-coding RNA, 335 nt
Filed under: Androctonus crassicauda
Lineage: Eukaryota; Metazoa; Arthropoda; Arachnida; Scorpiones; Buthidae
Source: RNAcentral